GGGGUUGUGGCUCAGUGUUAGAGUGCUUGUCUAGUAUGCAUGGGGCACUGGGUUCGAUCCUCAGCACCACA
RNAcentral lists this transfer RNA (71 nucleotides) under Marmota monax (woodchuck). RNAcentral's name for it is "tRNA.Thr". It matches the Rfam family "tRNA". Rfam says of the family: Transfer RNA (tRNA) molecules are approximately 80 nucleotides in length. Their secondary structure includes four short double-helical elements and three loops (D, anti-codon, and T loops). The record is from RNAcentral. Lineage: Eukaryota; Metazoa; Chordata; Mammalia; Rodentia; Sciuridae.